AAUAGGUGCUAAAUGGGUAACAGGGAGGCUGCCGUGAGAAAUGCCACUUAUCAAAGCAUUAGCACUUGGCAAGGAAAAGCAGGGGGAAGAAAUGAGGGACCCAGUCCCAGCACUGUGACAGACACUAGAGGGGCUGAGAAGUGGCACAGCUGGCGCAGGGUGUUGGAGCCGGGCUGCACUGCAGCACGCCCUGACCUGGCUGACAGAGAGAGGAUGAGUUUAGCAAUACUGUUUACUAUACAGAACACAUUUUCCUCUGUGAUUUUGCUGCAAAUAUUUUGUCGUUUUCAAUUUCGAUUUGCGUUUGGAAUAACACGAGAAGCUCUUUUUCUAUGUUUUCUUUCUUAUUUUCUUUCCUUUUCUUUCUUUCUUUCUUUCUUUUUUUUUUUUUCUUUCUUUCUUUUUUUUUUUUUUUUUAAGGGAAUCACAAUUCUUACACAUGAAAAGACUCAUAGCCAUCUCCAGAGGACCGUGGAGGAUGGGGGUCAGCUCUCCUCCAGCCGGGAUGACGACCCUGCCCCUAUUUCUGCCUGGGGAAGGGCAAGAACAAGCAUCUGCCUGGAAGUUUAA
This 570-nucleotide long non-coding RNA is filed under the name Coturnix japonica (Japanese quail). RNAcentral describes it as "lncRNA (ENSCJPG00005020179.1)". The record is from RNAcentral. Lineage: Eukaryota; Metazoa; Chordata; Aves; Galliformes; Phasianidae.